Molecule: long non-coding RNA, 300 nt
Organism: Gadus macrocephalus (Pacific cod)
Lineage: Eukaryota; Metazoa; Chordata; Actinopteri; Gadiformes; Gadidae
Exons: 2
Source: RefSeq, a predicted model, not a curated record
UUUUUCUGGUAGAGAUUGCGGUUUCGAUUUCAACCACGAUUUAUUUUCUUUGAAUCAAGUUUCAGUAUAAAUUAAUAUAACCAAUGAAUUCCAUUAAGGAUGAGGAAUAAUGAAAACUGCUGGCAACAGAUUUCAAAUGCAAGACUGUUUAUUCAAGUACCUAAGAAACAACAACCAAAAAAGUCAAAUAAAAAGGGAGCCCUCUUUCUUAAGUAAACUUGCUUCAAUGGCUCAUCAGCAUCAAAAUAAUUGCACUUUUGUAAAAUAAAAAAAAAUAAAAAAAAUAAAUAAAUAAAAAAA